UGUGAGAAUGAAGACCUUUAUGGUGAUUCAUUUCCAGUUAAGGAAUAGGUGUAAAGAUGAUCAUGAUCAGGAGGAGCAUGAACAAGAAUAGAGCUGUGGAUGGAAAUACUUGGGAUCAGAUAUUG
This is a non-coding RNA of Saimiri boliviensis boliviensis (Bolivian squirrel monkey), 125 nucleotides long. The record is from RefSeq and is a predicted model, not a curated record. NCBI's taxonomy places the organism in Eukaryota, Metazoa, Chordata, Mammalia, Primates, Cebidae.